GCAGCAGCCGCGGUAAUACGAAGGGGGCUAGCGUUGUUCGGAAUUACUGGGCGUAAAGCGCACGUAGGCGGAUUUUUAAGUCAGGGGUGAAAUCCCGAGGCUCAACCUCGGAACUGUCUUUGAUACUGGAGAUCUUGAGUUCGGAAGAGGUUGGUGGAACAGCUAGUGUAGAGGUGAAAUUCGUAGAUAUUAGCUAGAACACCAGUGGCGAAGGCGGCCAACUGGUCCGAUACUGACGCUGAGGUGCGAAAGCGUGGGGAGCAAACAGGAUUAGAUACCCCCGUAGUCCCUGUCUCUUAUAA
This 302-nucleotide ribosomal RNA is filed under the name uncultured bacterium. RNAcentral describes it as "partial 16S ribosomal RNA". It matches the Rfam family "Bacterial small subunit ribosomal RNA", at positions 508 to 809 of the family's 1533-position model. The record is from RNAcentral.